Molecule: ribosomal RNA, 837 nt
Filed under: Viscosia sp. 94P20G16
Lineage: Eukaryota; Metazoa; Nematoda; Enoplea; Enoplida; Oncholaimidae
Description: SSU rRNA
Rfam family: Eukaryotic small subunit ribosomal RNA
Source: RNAcentral
AGCCGCGAAUAGCUCAUUACAACAGCCAUCGUUUACUGGAUAUAUGUUCUACAUGGAUAACUGUGGUAAUUCUACAGCUAAUACACGCAUCAAAACCCAACCUUACGGUGGGGUGCGUUUGUUACAUCAAACCAAUCGGACUUCGGUCUGACCUGAAGUGAUAUUGAACAAUUUGGCUGAUCGCACGGUCUAAGAACCGGCGACAUAUCCUUCAAAUGUCUGCCUUAUCAACUUUCGAUGGUAGCUUAUGCGACUACCAUGGUUGUAACGGGUAACGGAGAAUCAGGGUUUGAUUCCGGAGAGGGAGCCUGAGAAACGGCUACCACAUCCAAGGAAGGCAGCAGGCACGCAAAUUACCCACUCCCGGCACGGGGAGGUAGUGACGAAAAAUAACAAGCUGGUCUCAAUGAGUUCCGGCAUUGUAAUGGGAACAACUUAAAUCAUUUAUCGAGGAUCUAUUGGAGGGCAAGUCUGGUGCCAGCAGCCGCGGUAAUUCCAGCUCCAAUAGCGUAUAUUAAAGUUGUUGCGGUUAAAAAGCUCGUAGUUGGAUCUAGGACUAGGGCCACGGUCGUUCAGCUUGGACGUACUGUGUGCCCGACUCCUUUUCUCUAGUAUUCGGUUGUUGCUCUUAAACGAGUGACCUUUGUUGCUGGGACUUUUACCUUGAAAAAACUGAAGUGCUCAAAGCAGGCUUUGCCUGAACAUUGUUGCAUGGGAUAAUUGAAUAGGAUUUUGGUCCUAUUUUGUUGGUUUCGGGACACGAAAUAAUGAUUAAUAGGGACAGACGGGGGCAUUCGUAUUGCUGCGUUAGAGGUGAAAUUCUUGGAUCGCAGCAAG